GAGUAGAGGCGCGCUGCCUAAGAGUAUUCGGUUGGAGGGAGAUCCCCAAUGAAGACCGAGGAAAGGAGUCAGCGCCGAAGUGAUUAUUGAGUCAUCAAUAGUCGCUGGUUUUGCAUUUAAGAAAUGCAAAACUGCCAUAGUUAUUUUUUGUCUAUGGAGCGCUACCCU
RNAcentral lists this non-coding RNA (168 nucleotides) under Photobacterium phosphoreum. RNAcentral's name for it is "Lysine riboswitch". It matches the Rfam family "Lysine riboswitch aptamer". From Rfam's summary of the family: Riboswitches are metabolite binding domains within certain messenger RNAs that serve as precision sensors for their corresponding targets. Allosteric rearrangement of mRNA structure is mediated by ligand binding, and this results in modulation of gene expression. This family includes riboswitches that sense lysine in a number of genes involved in lysine metabolism, including lysC. Lineage: Bacteria; Pseudomonadati; Pseudomonadota; Gammaproteobacteria; Vibrionales; Vibrionaceae. The record is from RNAcentral.